UACGUAGGGAGCAAGCGUUGUCCGGAAUCAUUGGGCGUAAAGCGCGCGUAGGCGGCCCGGUAAGUCCGUUGUAAAAGUCGAAGGCUCAACCUUCGAAAGCCGAUGGAUACUGCCGGGCUAGAGUUCGGAAGAGGCGAGUGGAAUUCCAGGUGUAGCGGUGAAAUGCGUAGAUAUCUGGAGGAACACCGGUGGCGAAGGCGGCAUCCUGGACCGAUACUGACGCUGAGGAGCGAAAGCCAGGGGAGCAAACGGG
RNAcentral lists this ribosomal RNA (253 nucleotides) under uncultured bacterium. Its description in RNAcentral is "partial 16S ribosomal RNA". It matches the Rfam family "Bacterial small subunit ribosomal RNA", at positions 524 to 776 of the family's 1533-position model. The record is from RNAcentral.